Molecule: ribosomal RNA, 497 nt
Filed under: uncultured bacterium
Lineage: Bacteria
Description: partial 16S ribosomal RNA
Rfam family: Bacterial small subunit ribosomal RNA
Source: RNAcentral
GAUGAACGCUGGCGGCGUGCCUAAUACAUGCAAGUCGAGCGAACGGACGAGAAGCUUGCUUCUCUGAUGUUAGCGGCGGACGGGUGAGUAACACGUGGAUAACCUACCUAUAAGACUGGGAUAACUUCGGGAAACCGGAGCUAAUACCGGAUAAUAUUUUGAACCGCAUGGUUCAAAAGUGAAAGACGGUCUUGCUGUCACUUAUAGAUGGAUCCGCGCUGCAUUAGCUAGUUGGUUAGGUAACGGCUUACCAAGGCAACGAUGCAUAGCCGACCUGAGAGGGUGAUCGGCCACACUGGAACUGAGACUCGGUCCAGACUCCUACGGGAGGCAGCAGUAGAGAAUCUUCCGCAAUGGGCGAGAGCCUGACGGAGCAACGCCGCGUGAGUGAUGAAGGUCUUCGGAUCGGAAAACUCUGUUAGUAGGGAAGAACAUAUGUGUAAGUAACUGUGCACAUCUUGACGGUACCUAAUCAGAAAGCCACGGCUAACUACGUG